GAUCCUGGCUCAGAUUGAACGCUAGCGGGAUGCCUUACACAUGCAAGUCGAACGGCAGCACGGGCUUCGGCCUGGUGGCGAGUGGCGAACGGGUGAGUAAUGCAUCGGAACGUGCCGUGUAGUGGGGGAUAACGUAGCGAAAGUUACGCUAAUACCGCAUACGCCCUGAGGGGGAAAGUGGGGGACCGUAAGGCCUCACGCUAUACGAGCGGCCGAUGUCGGAUUAGCUAGUUGGUAGGGUAAAGGCCUACCAAGGCGACGAUCCGUAGCGGGUCUGAGAGGAUGAUCCGCCACACUGGGACUGAGACACGGCCCAGACUCCUACGGGAGGCAGCAGUGGGGAAUAUUGCGCAAUGGGGGCAACCCUGACGCAGCCAUGCCGCGUGUGUGAAGAAGGCCUUCGGGUUGUAAAGCACUUUAAGUGGGGAGAAAAGGGUAGCGGUUAAUAGCGGUUACCUGUGAUGUUACCCACAGAAUAAGCACCGGCUAACUCCGUG
RNAcentral lists this ribosomal RNA (497 nucleotides) under uncultured bacterium. RNAcentral describes it as "bacterial SSU rRNA". It matches the Rfam family "Bacterial small subunit ribosomal RNA", at positions 15 to 507 of the family's 1533-position model. The record is from RNAcentral.